RNA transcript from Entelurus aequoreus (snake pipefish), 2729 nucleotides. It is a transcript of the gene named arginine/serine-rich protein 1, with no coding region annotated. The transcript is spliced from 6 exons. The record is from RefSeq and is a predicted model, not a curated record. Lineage: Eukaryota; Metazoa; Chordata; Actinopteri; Syngnathiformes; Syngnathidae.
UGACUGACUGGAAUUUUCCAGAAGCCAAGGAAACGGUUGUUCCACUCGCUGUGUUAUAGUUGUGUUGUAGAAAGACGUGGUCAAGCUCGGAAAGUUAUCAAACCAGAGACUUUAUUUUCAACACUUUUUAAAACAUUUUGCUUGUUGCUUCGUAAAAGUUGACUGGACUGCACAGUGUGCUGGUUUAUAUCGUUGUCACUUUAUAAACGGGUUCAACUCAAGCGACCGACCGCCAUCUGCUUGUGGAAGACAAUGACCAAGAGAGACGAGUGCGAUCCAAUGGCCCACAGUUGUGAUAAGAGUAGCCCUUCAUCCCACUGCUCCAGUUCUGAAAGUAGCCCCUCCUCGACUUCUGGCAGGAACAAGGGACAACACAGGUCUUCAUCAUGCAGCAGUGGUUCCUCCUCUCGUUCCAGGUCCCGCUCGCAUCCUCGUUGCCAUAGACAUUCCCACUGUCGCGGCCAUCGAAAGUACAGUCGUGACCGCCGCCAUCUAUCACGCAGCCACAGGGCACACUCUCGAUCCUACAGCCGCUCACCCUCGCCGGACAGGUACCGCAGACACUCCAGCUCCAGGUCUCACCACAGGUAUUCGUUUGGUUGGAAAAAGAACAGCACCACUCAGAAGCAAUUUGACAGGUUUUCAAAAUCGACAUCCACAUCCUACAGCAGCCCUUCAGCAUCCUCAGGAAGCUUGAGCUUGGAAGAUAAAAGAGAACUACUAAAAACGGCAAAGGUCGCCAUAAAGCAGCAGAGAGCAGAGAAACUGGAACUUCCUGAGCGUGUUAAACCAAUCCUGCCAGAGGAGCCAGAUUGGGGGGAACCCUUUACAGGGCCAUGGGUGAGACCACUCCCUGAAAAGAUGUGGUCACAGGUGGGUGUCUGCCUUACUCCUAUUAACACAUCACACUACUAAGAUUAGGUAUGGUCAGAGUCCAGUAAGUACCAUUCCGAAAGCAAGUUGUUUGCAGUAAAUCAGCAAUACAUCACAGUAGAGAAAAUAUGCUAACAAACAUGAAUGAAGUAAGUGUACCGUAUUUUCCGGACUAGAAGCUGCUACUAUUUUCCUACGCUUUGAAUCUUGCGCCUUAUAAAAGGUGUGGCUAAUUCAUGAAUUUUUCUACGCUAACAGCCAUAAUGUUUUGUAUUCAACAAAUCAUUUUCAUAGAACACCAACAGACACUGAAAAGUGUUAGUUUGUUCUGUGGUGCCAUCUUUUGGGCGAGUUUGCACACUACAGUGUUUCCUUCUGGUUAGUGCUUUGAACUGGAAGUAGAAGUGUCAUUCCAUCUUCUAGUCAUCCAUCUCUACUUGUAUGGUAUCUUCAUGACUCCAAGCAAGGUUUUUAAGUCUUCACCGGUACUAAACCGUCCUAUGUGUGAUGUCUGUAGGAAUGUUUUCGUGCAUAUUAGAAUGUGUGUGUAAUCAAGUUAGCGUCGUUAGCAUUAAUGUGCUAAACUGUUUACAAGUAUUUUGUGUUAGUACAUUAACCUAUUUACUUACACUGGCAUCCUGUUUGUAUUGUUCCAGUUUCACAAAUUCCUCAGUAAAUUCACAAAAAUGUCACUGUAGAGUUAUUGUCUGCUAAGAUGAUUAGAAAGCUAGUGUCCGCAGCCAGUGAUUCCCGGGCGCGGCCACCGCUGCUGCUCACUGCUCCCCUCACCUCCCAGGGGGUGAGGCUGAUGGGUCAAAUGCAGAGGAUAAUCUCACCACACCUAGUGUGUGUGUGACAAUCAUUGGUACUUUUUUUUUAACUUUAGUGGGUUCAUUAUGAUGACUUUUGUCUUGUGUUACAGAUACUGUUAGGAAACAAUUAACGUCUUUCUGUGAAAAUGACUAAAUUCACGUAGAUAUCUGCGGCUAAUAUAUGGAAACUACUGUUUACUUCUAAAAUUUUGUGGGUCCGGCUUAUAUACCAGUGCGCUCUAUAGUCUGGAAAAUACGGUAUAUCAUGUGCAACAUAUAUAAUAUCCUUGAUUAUGUGGGUAAUUUGACUCAUGUGCUUUGGCAUCAAUAUUUGAAAAAAUAGUAAUAUCCAACUGAUACUCAAAUGGAGACACAAUAUGAACCCAAAAUAUUCAAUACGUGUUGUGUGAUGUAUUUCCUGUGUCUUGUGUUGACCUUUUGGAACCCUGAGGGAAUGCACAUACUCUCUGUAUUUAUUCCUGUCUUCAUAGAUAACAUGACAGUGGUCUCCUUCACUCACCGGCACCUGGGAUUAAAAGGCUGUCAUGUGACUCUGGUGAAGACAAUAAGUUUGCGUGAAAGGUUGACUAAUGAUUGCACACAAUGCGUUCUUCACACUGUACUUGGAUGAACACCCAUGUAAAUGAUACACAUAGCAAUAUGUCUACAAUAAAUACACAAGCUAUUUGGAGGAGUGUUCUAGCACUCCGUGCUAUAUUGACAUGACAAAUGUAUCUAUGGUUUGCAGUUGAAAUGGGUCGUCGUUAUUUAGCAGAAUCCACCACUCGCUGAUGGAGUGCGGGCGUGUGCUAUAUAGUGAGUCAAGAACUAAAACCUGAUGAAGAAGUGGUCUCCAUAUGCCAAAGAUAAGUUGGUACAUGAGGCGCCUGCCGAAGACAACAAACAAUGAAGUAGAACCAACCACGGCCACCCUGAAGCUUUCCCCCAAAACCAAAACCAUCACUUUUAACAUCAAUAACUGUGUUGCAAAGCCAACAGUGACAUCGCCAUCGAGCGCCAGUGUAACUGCCAACGUCGACAGCU